CCUACGGGUGGCAGCAGUGGGGAAUAUUGCACAAUGGGGGAAACCCUGAUGCAGCGACGCCGCGUGAGCGAUGAAGUAUCUCGGUAUGUUAAGCUCUAUUAGCAGGGAAGAAAAUGACGGUACCUGACUAAGAAGCCCCGGCUAACAAGGUGCCAGCAGCCGCGGUAAUACGUAGGGGGCAAGCGUUAUCCGGAUUUACUGGGUGUAAAGGGAGCGUAGACGGGGGUGCAAGCCAGAUGUGAAAGCCCGGGGCUCAAUCCCGGGACUGCAUUUGCAACUGUGCUGCUAGAGUGUCGGAGAGGCAGGCGGAAUUCCUGGUGUAGCGGUGAAAUGCGUAGAUAUUAGGAGGAACACCAGUGGCGAAGGCGGCCUGCUGGACGAUGACUGACGUUGAGGCUCGAAAGCGUGGGGAGCAAACAGGAUUAGAUACCCGGGUAGUC
This 440-nucleotide ribosomal RNA is filed under the name uncultured bacterium. RNAcentral describes it as "partial 16S ribosomal RNA". It matches the Rfam family "Bacterial small subunit ribosomal RNA", at positions 338 to 795 of the family's 1533-position model. The record is from RNAcentral.